CUCGCGACGGCCGAUCUGCCCCGCUGCACACACGCGCCGCCGGCCGCCGCCAGGCCUUCAGCAUCUAAGCACCUGAGCUCCUGAUCUAUUCGCCGCCGCCGAUGGACUCUGAUGUGGAGGCUGCCGGCCGCCAGGCCUUAAGCAACAACUGCAUUCUAGAUGAUGUGAUUUCCGAUCUGGGUAUCUGCAUACAAAUUGGAGACUAUGCUACCGCAGAAAUUAGAGGUCUUGCUUGGAGCCAAUGAGUGUUUAAUCAGCUGGAGUACAUACCUCAAUUCCUGGGUCCGCCAAUCUUGAUUGACCAACACGCUCGUCUGGGGAAGUUCACCAUGCUCCUGCUGCUCGCCGAUCCGGACCUGUUCGACCGCGCCGCCCAUCCCCUGCAUCCGCCUCUCUGUGUGCGGGUCCUCUACGAUGGCGUCGUCGCCACUGACGGCGAGCACCUCGACCAGCUUCUCAUUGCGAGGAUCAAGUUGGUGUACGUGCCACCUCUUGGGGAAGCCGCUGGCCCGGCGGUGGUGGGGUCGACCCACCUCUACCCCCACCGGGUGCAGCAGCUCGAGCACCUUGCCAUGCACGUGCGGCUGCCGCCACUGCAUGUCAUUCUUGUCAGCGGUUGGAUCCUCUUGUACAUCCAUUGUACACGCUCGUUCGUGGAUAGAGCAAUUGUGAAGCCAUCGAUCUCACUUUUAUCUCCUCUCCCGUGCUCACAUGCAUCUCCCUACCAGCCAUCUCAGAUCUCCUCUACCACUUGUGAUGAGGUAAGCUUAAUAAUUGUUUGCUUUUGUUCAGAUUUUUCUGAAUAAUCAUGAUUUUGACUACUUACUGGGAAGAGGUGUAUAGGUGUAUGUCCCAGCCAUCGGCAAUCCUUCUGCAUACAAGGUAUUUGAAAGAAUGCCUAUGCCAAAUUGAUCAUGCUAAAACACUCUGCCAUUAUGGCAGAAAUUUAUGAUGCGAUCAUUGAUAUUAUAGUGCAGUCUUCACAUUCAUAUGGUUUUUUGUUUGUUUGUUAUCCCCUUUUCCUUACUUUUCUCAAAUUUAGUUUUUCAGUGCCACUAUUUUAUUUAAGUACGUCUAUUUAUUUUUCACGGAAUUCUUCUAUUGGAAGUAGAACAGUUGCACUUGCAUAUCACGGAGACAACUAUGGCUUAGAGUUGGGCGAUGAUCGUCGUACGCUCAGAGUCAUGUGUGGCGUGUGUGGUUGUGUGCAUGAGCCGCGCGAUGCCAUAAGUGUUCAUGGUAUCGUUUGAAAUAUCGGCUCAAAUGAAAAUCAAUCCCAUGGCACAGUCUCCUUUUCAUGUAUGCUUCUUGAGGCUAGCGGUCAAGCUGCUUCCCCUCUCCUUAGAUUAAUGGCACUUCAAUGAGAAGUACGAUGGCGGCCACAGCGACGACGUUGUCAUCAAUUAACGGAUUUCACUUUUAAUGGCCGACGAUGCAACACGCAAGGAUCCUGCCUGUGGCCUUUAUACAAAUGAUGGUCAAUGUCUUUACCAACAUGAGUUUGGGAAAUAUAGUUGUCUCCUUCAGUAACACCAUCUAAAACACAUGCACUAUCAAUGGUUUGUUCAUGCAGAUCCCGAGUAAAGAAAAUGUAUAUGAUACUGACUUUGAGUAGGUGACUUAGGUUGACAUGAAGGGACUGGUAAUGGAUCGGGCAAGAUGUUCUGACAUCAAACGGUGAGACGCCUUUGCUCUGAAAUUCUAUUGGAAAAUACUGAAGUUCCAUUUUACAGAGGGCCUAGAUAAUGAUAACAGAAAUAUUGUUUGAAUACUUUGAUUCCGUAAGUACUAUCAUUCAGACGGAAAGACAUACAACUUUUUUCCUCCAAGGCAUCAAUUAAUUUGUCCUCUUUGCUGAUUGGCUCCAUCUAGGCUGCACGCAAAUGCAAUCAUUUCAUAUAGGGACUACAUUCAUUUGAGAAAUUUAGCAUGGUUGAUAUUACUGAUCUACGCACAAGUUUGUUUGAAUUUGGUAUCAUUGUUCUCGCUGUUAAUUUGGUUUCAUAGUAUACAUGUGUGGUUGAUUAGGAAUGGUAGUCUUAUAUAAUACGGAUCUUGAUGCCUCCUUAGCUUCAGCUGUAAGAAUGAUCCACUAUUUGUUUUUGUUACAAUUUAAAUGAUUAUUGGUGUAUAGUAGCUCCUAGAAGUCGGUAUUUGAGUGCAAGACCAACUAAACACAAUACUUGCAGUAGUAAAUUCAGAAAAUGCUCUUUAUGUACUUUUAAAAUUAUUUGCAUUUUCAUUAUAAAGAAGUGGUCUUGGUCACGCAUUUCUCCUAUUGAACCACAACUACGAUUGGCAACUGAGGCUAUAUGACUAGAGGGAAGCGUUCGUGAGGGAUUAGUAGGGGGUUGAGCAAGCACAAUACGCAGAUUAGAGUCGACUUUAUUAAUUUGUUUUCUAAAAUAAUUUUUCAUUUUAGGGUGUUGGCAGCAGGAAGGGCAAAGGAGCCCGAUCAUGACAGAGAAAUACGAGAGCACACCUCGUUCAAUAACCUCUCAUUCCAUAUUCCAAGUUACACCUUUUAUUCGUUGUAUGCAAUGCAUCUUUAAUACAACUAUAGACUCAUUUUGGUGUCUUUACUAGAACUGGGGCCGAGAAUUUGUGUACCCGAGAAUUUCGUAUUAAAAUUUUGCAUACUUAUAUGUUA
RNA transcript from Lolium rigidum, 2650 nucleotides. RefSeq lists it as uncharacterized. The record is from RefSeq and is a predicted model, not a curated record. The transcript is spliced from 4 exons. Lineage: Eukaryota; Viridiplantae; Streptophyta; Magnoliopsida; Poales; Poaceae.